Molecule: ribosomal RNA, 775 nt
Filed under: uncultured bacterium
Lineage: Bacteria
Description: bacterial SSU rRNA
Rfam family: Bacterial small subunit ribosomal RNA
Source: RNAcentral
GGAGGAACACCAGUGGCGAAGGCGGCCUGCUGGGCUUUUACUGACGCUGAGGCACGAAAGCAUGGGUAGCAAACAGGAUUAGAUACCCUGGUAGUCCAUGCCGUAAACGAUGAUUGCUAGGUGUGGGGGGUCUGACCCCUUCCGUGCCGGAGUUAACACAAUAAGCAAUCCACCUGGGGAGUACGGCCGCAAGGUUGAAACUCAAAGGAAUUGACGGGGGCCCGCACAAGCAGUGGAGUAUGUGGUUUAAUUCGAGGCAACGCGAAGAACCUUACCAGGUCUUGACAUCCACCGAAUCCUCCAGAGAUGGGGGAGUGCCCUUCGGGGAGCGGUGAGACAGGUGGUGCAUGGUUGUCGUCAGCCCGUGCCGUGAGGUGUCGGCUCAAGUGCCAUAACGAGCGCAACCCUUAUUGCCAGUUGCCAUCGGUGAAAAGCCGGGCACUCUGGCGAGACUGCCGUCGUAAGAUGUGAGGAAGGUGGGGAUGACGUCAAAUCAGCACGGCCCUUACGUCCGGGGCUACACACGUGUUACAAUGGGGGGUACAGAAGGCAGCUACACCGCGAGGUGCGGCGAAUCGAAAAAGCCCCUCUCAGUUCGGACUGGAGUCUGCAACCUGACUCCACGAAGCUGGAUUCGCUAAUAAUCGCGCAUCAGCCAUGGCGCGGUGAAUACGUUCCCGGGCCUUGUACACACCGCCCGUCAAGCCAUGGGAGCCGGGAGUGCCUGAAGCGCGUAACCGCAAGGAUCGUGUAAGGGUAAGACCGGUGACUGGGG